UAGUGAGUUUGAUCCGGCUCAGGACGAACGCUGGCGGCGUGCUUAACACAUGCAAGUCGAGCGGAAAGGCCACUUCGGUGGUACUCGAGCGGCGAACGGGUGAGUAACACGUGAGUAAUCUGCCCUUGGCUUCGGGAUAGCCACCGGAAACGGUGAUUAAUACCGGAUAUGACCACUUCUCGCAUGGGGUGUGGUGGAAAGUUUUUUCGGCCAGGGAUGUGCUCGCGGCCUAUCAGCUUGAUGGUGAGGUAAUGGCUCACCAUGGCUUCGACGGGGUAGCCGGCCUGAGAGGGUGACCGGUCACACUGGGACUGAGACACGG
RNAcentral lists this ribosomal RNA (322 nucleotides) under uncultured Nocardioides sp. RNAcentral describes it as "bacterial SSU rRNA". It matches the Rfam family "Bacterial small subunit ribosomal RNA", at positions 1 to 329 of the family's 1533-position model. Lineage: Bacteria; Bacillati; Actinomycetota; Actinomycetes; Propionibacteriales; Nocardioidaceae. The record is from RNAcentral.